GGAGGCUCCCGUGGCCCGCCUGCCCGGCGCCCCGGCGGCAGUCCUGCCCACCGGCGUGCAGGAGGCAGCAGGGGGAGGGCGGAGGGGCUCACCGGCUCACCGUCAAGCCACAGUGGCGGAUCUGUCCUCAAGCCACAGCCGCGGACGCCGAGGUCGUUGACGCCGGGCAGGGGAGGUCACGGGGCACGUCUCGGCCUUGUUCCCGACGCCGACAACCUCAAUCUCCAACCCUAAGGUGAAUGCCCUUCCAGACUCCCAAUAUGAAAUUCAGUCGUUGACCUGCACAUUUGUAGCUCCUGUUUGGAUUUAGAGAGAUAAGAUUCAUUUCACUCUGUGCCCGUCCUGAUCUGAUUCAUUUCAUUAGUACGGCUGGUAGCUUGGUAUGGAUUGGUCCUAGGGCCAAGUGCAAUUCUAGGGUUUUGCUGCACCACAUUUGAGUGCCUGUAAAUUUCGGUUUGUGUGCUCUCAUUUCAAUCCGCGAUAGGUUUCAGUUUGGUGUUUGUGUUUGUGGCUGAAGCUGUUUGUCACUAUUCAGCAGAUUUUGCCUAGCUGGCGCCUGGUAACAUGACACCAACGGUCCUCAUGGAGUAUAGGCCGCAGAUGCAGAUUAAACGGAGCUACGUUGAAAUAGCUUACCGGGGCAUGGGGUAUGCAGAGACUGUAGGUGGGUCGGGCAGCCCUGUUCGUGUUGACUCUGAAGAUUCAUCUGCGCCAAAAUGCAAGUGCAUCAGCCUUAAUAGCGAUGGCUUUGAUGUGAAGCAAGAGAUCUUUGUCCCGUCUAAGUUGUCGUCGUCUGAGCGGCGCUACCUUCGAAAGAGAUUCCGGGCAGAGCUUGGUUCUGUCAUGUAUCUCCUCAAGAGGCCAGAGUUUUUUUCCAUCAUGCCUGUCAGCCGAGCACCAUCCGACGCUUGACUGUAUAUUAUCAUGCUUAUCAAGUUCUUUCCUUAUGUCAAUUUUACAGAUAAAUUCAUUUGUGUCAAGUAUCGCUUUUUUCCAUAUGAACAUGACAAGUUGUCAUAUAUUGGCUUGUCAAAUCUAUCGGGUGCCAAGUUCACUUGAAAUAUUCUUAAUUCUGUUUCUUCUGAUUUUGGUGUUGGUGUAUGUAUUGUUAGUGAAAAUAUGCUCACAGUUUUUUUUUUUGAACUAUGUGUAUACCAUUAACUGAUGUCAUUAUGUUUUCCAGGGGUAUAUGGACCAGAAAUGAUGUGAUAUACUUGGUUAUUUGAACAUGAAGGUCAACCAUGGGGAGGCGCGACAUGGCGUGGCCUCAGCCCAUUAGGUGUCCUCUCUUUUUGCCUAUUGUUUCCUCUGGAACUCUGAUUUUGUUUGGCUUAUGAAGGCACAUUCAUCCUGCAAGUACAAUCAUGAUUAAGAUUUAGAACGCCCUGCACGCCGGUUUACUUUCUUUCGUACAUUGAUUGCUAUUUUUUAUGCCUUAUAUCCUACGCCUCAUCACACAAUAGUUUGGUAAAGAAAGAGUGAACCCACUCAUGAAUUUGCACUAAUUAUAUAUUUAUGUCACUAUUAAUAAUUUGUAUUUACUUUAUCUGCUCUCGUGAGUUCGUCGAGUUCCUUUCUCAAUGUGCUUAGAUGCUUGUGCAACAGCAGAAGUAAUUGUUGAUUGGCUUAGCCUUUGUGUCGGUUUCAUAUGUAUAUAUGUCAUUGGCCUAGCUAACAUCACGUGUCAGUAAUUUGUGCUUUCUUUCUUUGGGAUAAUUAUGCCUAGCUGGAAACAGAGAGGAGUCAGGUAGCCUGCUACUGUUCCUUUUGUUUGCUACUGUUCCUUUUGUUUUCUAAAGUGUCCCUUCAAUUAAUCCAGUAACCUGACAUUACUUUGUGUUUAACUAAUAUCAUUCUUAUCACAGUGAGUAUUAUAUUAUUCAGUUAGCCUCCUUUUCGUCGAAGAGGCGUGAAAGUGUAGAGGGUAGAAAUGGUAAUUGAAUGGGUGUUCUCUUUUUACGCAAGCAUUCUCCUCCUUAUCUUGCUAUUUAUGCAUCUCCGUAUUUCAUUGGUAUUCUUCCGAUUUGCAGUGAUUAUAGGAAGCGCAUACAUGGGUGAGUUGAAAUUGUUCUACUGAUUCCUCGAUGCUCUGUUCAUGGCUUUGUUCUUAUUUUAUCCUUCUUUCUUUUCUUUGUUCUUUCCUACAAGAAGAUGCCGAGUCGUGCAAUAUGUUCAAAGAAGAGAGAAUCUGCAUUUUAUGAAUGUUUUCUUCUUUCUUCAUUGUUACCUCGAGUUAGUGAAUUCAGUUAAGUUGUACUGAGCAGCUAAUGCACAUCUUAUUCAGUCACGAGGCCAUUAAGAUCUUUUUGACUUUUACUAAAAGGGAGAUGCCAUUUAGACCUUGCCCUGUCCAACUUGAUCUUUAACUUGCUACUACUGUUUGUAAGCAUUUUCCCAAGCACUGUUUUAUUUGCUUCAGUGAAUCAGGUCACCUUAUUCAGUGGAUGUUCCAAGUAAAAAAAUUAGAAACUGAGCAAUUAGUUCCACUCUUGAAUUUUGUACAACAGUCCAAAUUAUCCAAUAAAUCAUUUGUUAGCAGGGUCUACUUAUAGAAGUUGAAUCAGUUGUUCCAAAUUACCAGUCGAAUGCUGUACAACACAGUGAACUGUUCCAUUCUUAGACGUUGAGCUGAAAUUUCCUUAAUCUGGUUUCUCAUCGUCGGCUGCCCCUCGAGCUAAAAAUGUUCAACGGGGGAGCCAUGUUCUCCGUGGUGCCAAGGGACGCUUCUUGCCGACAAAACCCUGGCCCGAAAUAUCUACAGUGUUGCCUGAAGCUACAAUUCUGAAGCAGUGCGAAGCUAUUCUGAAGAAGCUGAAAUUUAGUCAUAUUUUUAAUGUUCCAGUAGAUGUGGAAAGGCUGAAUAUUCCAGAUUAUAAUGAAAUUAUCAAGCACCUGAUGGACCUUGGGACCAUCAAGAAGAAGCUAGAUUCUGGUUCCUACCAAAGUUUUGGAUUUCGUCCGAGAAAACCAAAAUUCCAGCGAUUUUCGUCCAUCUCGUUACCGGCCCAAAAAAUUCGGCCACUUUUAAACUCACAGCCCAGCCCAUGGUCUACUACAGCCCACACAAACCCCCCUGUGGUAUAAAAGCAUGAAUUCUGUGGAGCAAGGUUCAGGGCUGGAUUGAAAGCACCAUCUCCUCAGCGGGAAAGGAAGUGUUGGUAAAAUCUGUGGCACAAGGAGUACCGGUCUUUUCUAUGUCUUGCUUCAAGCUUCCAAGAGGUUUAUGUGAACAUCUGAACAUGCUUAUUAGGAAAUUCUGAUGGGGUAGUAAGGAAGGAAAACGGAAGCCUCAUUGGGUCUCCUGGAAAACUAUGACGCAGCCCAAGGGCAUGGGGGGUCUGGGGUUCAAAGAUUUUGAACUCUUCAACUUAUCAAUGUUGGCGAAACAAGCCUGGAGGCUGCUACAGAAUCCAGAAACCUUGAGUGCUCGUAUCUUGAAAGGCGUAUACUACCCAAACUCGGAUAUACUGGGCGCGGAACUAGGAAGCCAUCCCAGCCAAGUUUGGCGUGCCAUCAUCGAGGGCAGGGAUACACUACGGCAGGGAUUAAUCAGACGGAUUGGGAACGGAGAAACAACACACAUAUGGGGUCAGAACUGGCUGCCCCGAGAGGGGAUGUUUCGUCCCCUUGGAAGUAUCGCCCCCAAUCCCCCCAAUCGGGUGUCCGAGCUCAUCAUUGCCGCAACCGCAUCUUGGAACAGGCAACUUGUCCAACAACAUUUUAUGCCAAUAGAUGCACAAGUUGUACUAGCAAUUCCUUUGUGCACAAGAAACGUAAGUGACUUUUGGGCUUGGUACUAUGAGAAAAAUGGAGCUUUUACUGUAAAGUCGGCGUACAAGAUGCUUGUUGCCACUAAACAAAGAAGGGAGGCGUGGUUAGAAGGGUCUGCGGGAACUUCAAACUCCAUUGCAGAGGAGGGAUCAUGGAAGAGAUUAUGGAAGACGGAGGUGCCGGGGAAAAUUCGCAUGUUCUUAUGGAGACUGUCGAAGCACUCCCUCCCAACAAACGAUGUCAGGGCAAACCGACACAUGGCUACCUCUGACCAGUGCGGGCUUUGCGGUAACCGGGAUUCAUGGCGUCACUCCUUGCUAGAGUGCUCAUCAUCAAGGAGCGUUUGGGCGCUCAUUGAUGAGGAUGUCACACAUAAAAUCAUAGGGAGCACGGAGCCAAGUGCGAGGCAGUGGCUGUUCACUCUCAUGCAAAUGUUAUCACAUGAUCAGUUCAUCCUUGCAGCAGUUACACUAUGGUCCAUCUGGCAUGCCCGACGCAAAGCUAUUCAUGAAGCCAUAUUUCAGAGCCCCCAAUCUACCUUUGACUUUAUUGGACGUUUCUUGGCAGAACUAGAUACUAUAAAGACGAUGGAACGAGGUCAGGUCGCUGCACCAGCGGCUGCCGCACCCAUUCAACGACGGCCGAAGAAACCUCCUGCUGGGUGGUGCAAGAUUCAUGUGGACGCCGGGGUUAUGGAAAGAAGAGGAGGAUCUGCGGCAGCAGUUUGUAGAGAUUCGGCCGGAAACUACAUGGGCAGCUCGGCCCUAGUGGUCGAGGGAGUGGAAGACGCGGCGACACUUGAAGCUCUUGCUUGUCGGGAGGCGUUAUCCCUUGCAGAAGAUAUGGGUAUCCAGAACUUUGUUAUUGCCUCGGACUGCCAGCAAGUCGUCUCAGAUAUCAAUAGGAGGUCACACGGUACGUAUGGAGCAAUUAUCGCGGAAAUAAACCUUAGAGGUUCUUCCUUUCACUGUAUUUUUUCUUUUGAGAGUCGUGCUGUGAAUUAUGAAGCACAUAGUUUAGCCAAGUUUUCUCUUUUGAGAGGUCCGGGACGCCACGUCUGGUUUGGCGCUCCUCAUGACCAGAGAUGUAUCCCACUCCAUGUGGACUUUACGGAAUAAACUUGGUUUUUCCCCUCAAAAAAAAAAAUCUCCUCCUAACCCUAAAAUUCACUUUUCCCGUCUCCAUCCGACUGAGCGGCGGCUGUGGGCAACGGAACCCUAGCGAGUGAGGCGGGGGCGCGGUGCAGCGCCGCCUCCUCCCAUCCACCUCGUCUCCCUCCCUCCCAAUCUCCUCCCUCGUCUCCUUCCCUCCCAAUCUCCUCCCUCCCAGUCUCUUUCCCGUCCAUGGACGGUGGUGGCAGCGCCAUGGAGCACGGCCCAUCAAUAAUUUCCCAUUUAUGCACUUUCUUAUAUUCUGUCAUAAACAUGUGAUGUUUGCUUUAGUCCAUAUGAUUUUCAAUGUUGUUUCAAUUGGGGUUGCCAUCUAUUAAUUGUUGUUUCUGCCAUCUACUUGAUGUUUAUAUAAUUCACAAUGCUUUAGUCCAUAUGAUUCUAUAUGGUGUUUCAAUUGGGGCUGCCAUCUAUGAGUUGUUGCUGCCAUCUACUUGUAAUGUUUAUAUAAUUCACAAUGCUUUAGUCCAUCUGAAUUUAUAUGUUGUUUUAAUUUGGGCUGUCAUCUAUGAGUUGUUUCUGCCAUCUACUUGUAAUAUGUAUAUAAUUCACAUUGUUUCUGCCCAUAUGAUUUUAUAUGUUGUUCCAAUUGCGGCUGCCAUCAUUGAGUUGUUGUUUCUGCCAUCUAUGUUUAUAUAAUUCACAAUGCUUUAAUUGCAAGGUUAAGCGGCAUGGGAGCAAAAGAGCUUUUGGUUUGAUGAAGACUAACGGGUGGAUGAACAGGAAGUCCGAAGUGAAGGUCUCUGUUCGAUUCAAUACUUUUGGUGCAAGACUGAAGAGUUGAAGAACAGGAAGUCUGAAUUGAACUUUCUGUUUGUAUUUUGGGGUCGGCAUAAUUGAACUUUGAAUGCCGUGUUAAAUUCAUCAUGGACUGUAAUUCUGAACCGUUAUGGGUGUUCGUUUCGACUCUUGGUAGAACUAUUAAGUCGCAUGUUACUCUUAGUAUCUGAACUAUUAAGUCACAUGUUAAUCUGGACUAUCAUGUUGCUUUUCUAAUGGUUGCUGCUCUCUGAAUCGAUCCACUAUGCUAUUGUCUGAAUGGUUGCAACUGGAGUGUUGAUGUUCAGUCUGAUACAUAGUGAUUUGAUGAAUAGAUUCAGCUGUUUGAUUUUUACAUGCAUAUUUUGCUAAAAGUUUUGAAUACUCAUUUGUUGUUCUGUU
This 6101-nucleotide long non-coding RNA is filed under the name Triticum aestivum (bread wheat). RNAcentral describes it as "long non-coding RNA (TAES_LNC017454)". Lineage: Eukaryota; Viridiplantae; Streptophyta; Magnoliopsida; Poales; Poaceae. The record is from RNAcentral.